Molecule: ribosomal RNA, 402 nt
Filed under: uncultured microorganism
Description: bacterial SSU rRNA
Rfam family: Bacterial small subunit ribosomal RNA
Source: RNAcentral
GAGUUUCUUGGCUCAGAUUGAACGCUGGCGGCAUGCCUUACACAUGCAAGUCGAACGGCAGCAUGAUCUAGCUUGCUAGAUUGAUGGCGAGUGGCGAACGGGUGAGUAAUACAUCGGAACGUGCCCUGUAGUGGGGGAUAACUAGUCGAAGAUUAGCUAAUACCGCAUACGACCUGAGGGUGGAAAGUGGGGGACCGGCAAGGCCUCAUGCUAUAGGAGCGGCCGAUGUCUGAUUAGCUAGUUGGUGGGGUAAAGGCCCACCAAGGCGACGACCAGUAGCUGGUCUGAGAGGACGAUCAGCCACACUGGGACUGAGACACGGCCUAGACUCCUACGGGAGGCAGCAGUGGGGAAUUUUGGACAAUGGGCGAAAGCCUGAUCCAGCAAUGCCGCGUGUGAGAA